GAUGAACGCUGGCGGCGUGCCUAAUACAUGCAAGUAGAACGCUGAAGGAGGAGCUUGCUCUUCUGGAUGAGUUGCGAACGGGUGAGUAACGCGUAGGUAACCUGCCUGGUAGCGGGGGAUAACUAUUGGAAACGAUAGCUAAUACCGCAUGACAACAGUUAUUGCAUGAUAACUGUUUAAAAGGGGCAACUGCUCCACUACCAGAUGGACCUGCGUUGUAUUAGCUAGUUGGUGAGGUAACGGCUCACCAAGGCGACGAUACAUAGCCGGCCUGAGAGGGGGGUCGGCCCCCCUGGGACUGAGACACGGCCCAGACUCCUACGGGAGGCAGCAGUAGGGAAUCUUCGGCAAUGGACGGAAGUCUGACCGAGCAACGCCGCGUGAGUGAAGAAGGUUUUCGGAUCGUAAAGCUCUGUUGUAAGAGAAGAACGAGUGUGAGAGUGGAAAGUUCACACUGUGACGGUAUCUUACCAGAAAGGGACGGCUAACUACGUG
This 495-nucleotide ribosomal RNA is filed under the name uncultured bacterium. RNAcentral's name for it is "partial 16S ribosomal RNA". It matches the Rfam family "Bacterial small subunit ribosomal RNA", at positions 28 to 507 of the family's 1533-position model. The record is from RNAcentral.